Molecule: non-coding RNA, 73 nt
Organism: Phrynosoma platyrhinos (Desert horned lizard)
Lineage: Eukaryota; Metazoa; Chordata; Lepidosauria; Squamata; Phrynosomatidae
Source: the annotation of a GenBank genome assembly
AGCCAGUGUGGCGUAGUGGUUUGGGUGUUGGACUAUGACUCUGGAGACCAGAGUUCGGUUCCCAGCUCGGCUA